UGGGCGUAAGGGCUCGCAGGCGGUUUCUUAAGUCUGAUGUGAAAGCCCCCGGCUCAACCGGGGAGGGUCAUUGGAAACUGGGAAACUUGAGUGCAGAAGAGGAGAGUGGAAUUCCACGUGUAGCGGUGAAAUGCGUAGAGAUGUGGAGGAACACCAGUGGCGAAGGCGACUCUCUGGUCUGUAACUGACGCUGAGGAGCGAAAGCGUGGGGAGCGAACAGGAUUAGAUACCCUGGUAGUCCACGCCGUAAACGAUGAGUGCUAAGUGUUAGGGGGUUUCCGCCCCUUAGUGCUGCAGCUAACGCAUUAAGCACUCCGCCUGGGGAGUACGGUCGCAAGACUGAAACUCAAAGGAAUUGACGGGGGCCCGCACCAGCGGUGGAGCAUGUGGUUUAAUUCAAUUCAACGCGAAGAACCUUACCAGGUCUUGA
Molecule: ribosomal RNA, 430 nt
Filed under: Bacillus subtilis
Lineage: Bacteria; Bacillati; Bacillota; Bacilli; Caryophanales; Bacillaceae
Description: bacterial SSU rRNA
Rfam family: Bacterial small subunit ribosomal RNA
Source: RNAcentral